CAAAACAGAACUCAACUUCAUCUGCAUACCUGUGUUACAAACUUCUUGUAUUUUCUCAACAACAGCACAAGAGAACUCAUGUUAACAUUUUAUAUGAAGAGAAACUGAAUUCAUGAAUUUGAUUUACUCUAGAUUUAUUUUUAAGCUACAUAUGAAGCAGCAUUCUGGAUACUACUAUCAAAACAUUUACCUCUCACUGCAGAGCUCCUUUCCAUCCAAUUCAUAGACUGCAUCAUCUGCAUCCCUUGGAUCCUCAAAUUCCUAUUGGAUAAGAAAACAUAUUUGAUACCCAUAUUUAAUAGAAACACAUGCAAACUGUAUUGUUGGUAGAUUACUACAGUGUUAUAAAGGCACUAGAAGCAGCUCCCCAUUAUAUAAAAAAAAUUAAGCCCUGGUACACUCCUUAAUGGUGUAGUUAUACCAGCUGCAUUUUGUAGAGUGAAAAAACCCACCCUUCUGACCCUACAGUUCAACAAACUUCAAGCCACAGUGAAGGUAGAUCUAGGUUGAUGGGACCUUUUAUUUUUUAGGGAAAUAAAUCACCUGGCAGGACAAGCCCUACAGGGGCAUAGCUGUUUACCACUGCAGUGUCUCUCAAAGAACAACAAAAAUCAUUAUGCAGUUACACAAAUCCGAACUUCCUGGACAAAAGGUUUUUAGCCCGGGCGGCACGAGGCAGGGCUGGUGCGACAGCGCUUACCACAAAUCCAAAGCCUCUUUUCAGAUCGAUGUCCCGGAUGCGCCCGUAGCCCUUGAAGAAUCGCUCCACGUCCUUCUCCCGGGCGGCGGGGUUCAGCCUCCCG
Non-coding RNA from Pelodiscus sinensis (Chinese soft-shelled turtle), 803 nucleotides. Lineage: Eukaryota; Metazoa; Chordata; Testudines; Trionychidae. The record is from RefSeq and is a predicted model, not a curated record.